This 23-nucleotide non-coding RNA is filed under the name Arabidopsis thaliana (thale cress). The record is from RNAcentral. Lineage: Eukaryota; Viridiplantae; Streptophyta; Magnoliopsida; Brassicales; Brassicaceae.
AAGAGUGAUGAUGAUGGAUCCGG